RNAcentral lists this long non-coding RNA (1053 nucleotides) under Sparus aurata (gilthead seabream). RNAcentral's name for it is "lncRNA (ENSSAUG00010016407.1)". The record is from RNAcentral. Lineage: Eukaryota; Metazoa; Chordata; Actinopteri; Spariformes; Sparidae.
AUGCUGGAUGUGAUGGAUGAUGCACCUGUAUCCUCAGAACAAGUAAGACAAUGGACAGCCAAAGAUGUGACACUGUCACAUGUACAUGAGUUUGUGUUAAAAGGAUGGCCCGCUGCAGUAGAGCCUCAAUUCAUGCCUUGUUUUACCCAACGCUUAGAAUUAAGUGUUCGAGAUGGAUGUGUGCUGUGGGGUGCUCGGGUCAUUAUUCCUCAGCAAGGAAGAAAAAUGUUGCUGCAUCAGUCCCAUCUAGGAAUGUCUAGGAUGAAAAGUUUGGCCAGGUCAUGUGUUUGGUGGCCUCGGAUGGCUCAGGAUGUAGAAAGUGAAGUACAGCAGUGUGAAGUCUGUCAAUGGCACAGCAAGUCCCCUGCUACAGCACCAUUACAUCGAUGGGAAUGGCCGGAGAAGCCAUGGACUCGACUUCACGUUGAUUAUGCGGGUCCCUUUUUAGGCAAAAUGUUUUUGGUGCUGGUUGAUUCACAUUCUAAGUGGAUGGAUGUAUAUUCAGUAAAAACAGCAACUACUCAUGUAACCCUUGAGAAACUUAGACAAAGCAUCAGUAUCCGUGGAUUACCAAAAAUGUUGGUGAGUGAUAAUGCUACUUGCUUUACACGUGCUGAGUUUGCAGAUUUCAUGUCCAAAAAUGGAAUUCAUCCUUCAUCAAAUGGGUUGGCCGAAAGAGCAGUUCAGACCUUUAAGCAGGGGAUGAAGAGGAUGCAAGGAGGAAAGGAGAGCUUGGAAACUAAAGUGUCAAGAUUCCUGUUUAGUUACAGAAUCACUCCACACUCUACCACAUGUUUGUUUCUGGUGGAGAUGCUCAUGUCCAGGAGGCCAAGGUCCAUGUUUGAUUUGUUACUCCUGGACUUGAAAACCAAGAUGGAAAAGAAACAAUGGAAACAAAAAGCUCAUCAUGAUAAGACUACCAAACUCAUAUGUUUUAAUCCAGGAAAUCUAGUUUUUACAAAGAACUAUGGAUACGGUCCCAAAUGGAUCCCUGGAACCAUUGAGAGCUGCACGGGUCCACUGUCUUGUACCGUUCUCACCGAGAAUAGAUAG